This 856-nucleotide unclassified non-coding RNA is filed under the name Yarrowia lipolytica. Lineage: Eukaryota; Fungi; Ascomycota; Dipodascomycetes; Dipodascales. The record is from RNAcentral.
ACAGGAUAGAGCGGGCCCCAAAACGACACUUUCUGGGUGGUUGAUGAGACAAAGUAUGAAGACGUUUGACACGAGUCAACAGCAGCUGUGCUUGUGUAGUCAACUUCUAUACUCAUUGAGCCAACCGGGUUAUUCGCACAGGCACGAAAAGAAGUUUUUUCCCCCGCACUACAGCAAUACUGUACAUACUUCGAACGCCUGUCUUACAUAUACACAGGAACCAAUGAUGCGGUAUGCUUGUAAUAUGAAUUACAUGUACCGAUCAAGCAGGGAACGAUACUUUUGAUGUUUCUACAAGCAGCUAGAACCCGGUUUUGAGAGGUUUCGCUUAGCGGCUUGGCACUCAUCUCAUAUGCAUACGAUGACAGAGAUCACUGACACAUGGACUCUCACUCUCAUGGACCAGACGGAACAUGUUAAAAACAGAGAGUUUGCAAGAAAAAGAUGGACGGAGAUUCUAGGGAGAGGUCCUGGGAGGGAACGGAAUAAGACAUGUCAGCACACUCCUGCUUCUGAUCACUACGCUGAGCUCUACGUACUGAGUUGGACUUUCUCAUCAACUUGUGUUAUGACCCCACUAUCUGACACAGUGAACAAGAAAGCCUGGGUUUUCUGAUACGGGGCUCUGCGGAAAUUGCUAACUCUUCAUCCCGAGCGGCAUGACACAACUAUGGGGCUCGUUACCUAGGGAAGUCAACGUUGGCAAUAAUGUCAGCAGAUCUUCCAGACCAUCUCCAGUUUUGCCUAUAUAUAUAUCCUGCAAAGUCCGCAUCUACUAAAUAUGCUCAUCCCAAACCUUUAUUCAAAGUCCAACAAACUUAUCAACUACAUUCCAGUGUUUACUCCUCAACAGAUC